This 497-nucleotide ribosomal RNA is filed under the name uncultured bacterium. Its description in RNAcentral is "bacterial SSU rRNA". It matches the Rfam family "Bacterial small subunit ribosomal RNA", at positions 30 to 525 of the family's 1533-position model. The record is from RNAcentral.
AUUGAACGCUGGCGGCAUGCCUUACACAUGCAAGUCGAACGGUAACAGGUCUUCGGAUGCUGACGAGUGGCGAACGGGUGAGUAAUACAUCGGAACGUGCCCGAUCGUGGGGGAUAACGGAGCGAAAGCUUUGCUAAUACCGCAUACGAUCUACGGAUGAAAGCAGGGGACCGCAAGGCCUUGCGCGGACGGAGCGGCCGAUGGCAGAUUAGGUAGUUGGUGGGAUAAAAGCUUACCAAGCCGACGAUCUGUAGCUGGUCUGAGAGGACGACCAGCCACACUGGGACUGAGACACGGCCCAGACUCCUACGGGAGGCAGCAGUGGGGAAUUUUGGACAAUGGGCGCAAGCCUGAUCCAGCCAUGCCGCGUGCAGGAUGAAGGCCUUCGGGUUGUAACUGCUUUGUACGGAACGAAAAGACUCUUUCUAUAAAGAGGUCCAUGACGGUACCGUAAGAAUAAGACACCGGCUAACUACGUGCCAGCAGCCGCGGUAACC